This 1292-nucleotide long non-coding RNA is filed under the name Macaca fascicularis (crab-eating macaque). Its description in RNAcentral is "lncRNA (ENSMFAG00000061721.1)". The record is from RNAcentral. Lineage: Eukaryota; Metazoa; Chordata; Mammalia; Primates; Cercopithecidae.
UUUACUACUUUAAAUUUAUUUAUUUUAAUCAUAGAGCAUGAAGAUAAAAUACAGAAAAAAACUUCUUGUAAGAAGAGGCCUUUUUACAACAGUCUAUUAAAAAGACUUAAUGAUUCCCAACAGUAAUGAAAGUUGUCAUGUAAAAACAAAGAAACACAGAAAGGAAACAGAAACUCAAAUGAUCAAUAAACAGCUUAACUUGCAUGUACGUAAAUUUCACUAAAUCAAAUAUAACUCAUGAAGAGAUCUACUGACAUUGGCCAAAAAAACCCCAUAUUUUAAGCAAAAUAAGAACUUUAGGUUUACAAAAGAUACUGCUGAUACUUUUAUUCUAUGUAUUCCUUAUCACAUUGCUUAUAGAAACCGUAUAUUAAUUUAUGUUCAUAACAACUUAUGAUGACCUCAGGAAAGAAGCAGCAAAAUAAAGAGUUUCUGACUCAUUUCUUUCAGCCCAGUCUUCAAAAAAAUUGCUUGAAGGUAAUUUGGCUAUUUGUUCCACAAGAAAUUUAUAACGUGAGAGCAAACAUCACUAAAUAAGGAUCUAACAGGAGUGGCAUUUAUCCUUCUAUGCAAAUUAAAAAUAAAUGCCCAGAUGGUUAUGAAUUUUACAGAUAGGCUGUAUUGGUUCCAUUUUUAUCCCUUUUACUGAUGUUUCUCCUCUAAGAAGAGCUCACAGGGCAAGUGUUAGCAAAAGAGACAUCUAAGCAAACUUCACCUGGGAGAACUCCCUUUCCUAAAUAAACCCAUAAACCUAAAAGGCAUCAACUGGGGUAGGCUGAAUAAUGGCCUCUCAAAAAUGUCCGCAUUCUCAUCCAUGGAACCUGAGAACAUGUUACCCGAUAUGGCAGAAGGAAUUCUGCAGGUCAAUUAGAUUAUGGAUCUUCAAAUGGGGAUAUUAUCUUGGAUUUUCUGGAUAGGAAUGGUGUAAUCACAAGCUUUUAUAAGAAGGAGGCAGGGGGGUUAAGAGUCAGAAAAGAAGAUGUGAAGAUGGAAGGAGAGGCAGAAGAGCUGGAGGCCCAUCAGCCAAAGGAUGCAGGCAGAUUCUAGAAGCUGGAAGACGCAAGGAACAGGUUCUCUUUCAGGGCCCCCAAAAGUAAGCUCACUGACCCAUUUUGGACUCUGACCUUAGAACUAUAAGAUAAUAAAUGUGGUUUGCUUUAAGCCAUUAAGUUUGUGGUAGUAGGUCACAGCAGUAAUAAAAAACUGAUACAACUAUGUCGCCAACUAAACCAAGGGUGGAUAAUUUGGAUCUUGACUCUUCAGACCUAUGUUUAUGUUUAGUCUAUACCUAA